GAGUAACACGUGGGCAACCUGCCCUUUGCAUCGGGACAGCCUCGGGAAACCGGGUUAAUACCGGAUACUCCAUCUUUCUCACAUGAAAAAGAUGGGAAAGUGUUUAGCGGCAAGGGAUGGGCCCGCGCCCUGUUAGCUUGUUGGUGGGGUAAAAGCCUACCAAGGCAAUGAUGGGUAGCCGGGUUGAGAGACCGACCGGCCAGAUUGGGACUGAGACACGGCCCAGACUCCUACGGGAGGCAGCAGUGGGGAAUCUUGCACAAUGGGCGAAAGCCUGAUGCAGCGACUGCCGCGUGCGGGAUGAAGGCCUUCGGGUUGUAAACCGCUUUCAGCAG
RNAcentral lists this ribosomal RNA (335 nucleotides) under Atopobium sp. oral taxon 416. RNAcentral describes it as "bacterial SSU rRNA". It matches the Rfam family "Bacterial small subunit ribosomal RNA", at positions 108 to 442 of the family's 1533-position model. The record is from RNAcentral. Lineage: Bacteria; Bacillati; Actinomycetota; Coriobacteriia; Coriobacteriales; Atopobiaceae.